Ixodes scapularis (black-legged tick) is the source of this 581-nucleotide long non-coding RNA. RefSeq lists it as uncharacterized. The record is from RefSeq and is a predicted model, not a curated record. The transcript is spliced from 4 exons. Lineage: Eukaryota; Metazoa; Arthropoda; Arachnida; Ixodida; Ixodidae.
ACUGCGUGUCAUGCGGAGGGUUUGUGCAAGCUCUCUGGGCGGCGACGCUAGCCACGGAGCUGGCCUCCCUCCCUUCCAUCAGCUGCGAUAUACUACAAGCACUGGGCUACAGCUGCAGCUAGCCCAUGGGUACCGUUCUGCGUCCUGUACUGCAUCUAGUUUGAAAGGCAGGUACCGGGGACCAUGACAUCAAUGAGCUGGCUUUCACCUUGUCCAAGGCAGCAGCGGAACACUACGGGCGGGACCCUGGAUCACUGCACCAUGGAUGCUGUCCUGUACCCUUCACGGCACUGCGUGUGGCUUAAGUGGCCAAGCAGGGGGUCAUUGCAUGACUUUUAUGAGGCGCCGCUAGCCAUUGUUUCAAACCGCCCUGAAUCGUGGAUCAAGCCUUGCAAGAUGGAAGUUCUCUUUAGGCCCAGCGCCUCUUGAUGGAUCAAGUCUUGUACCACAUUCCCUCGUGUCUUUCAUAUAAGUAAAUUGUUGGUAUUUCUUUUAUGACAGUGCGCAUUACCUGCCGACCACGUUUUACAGUCGAAACGCAGUGUACCAAAACUUCUUUUAUAUAGACCCCUUUCUUUGCA